AGGACGCUGGGAACACGGAUUCCUGGAUCCCACCAGCCUACGAAGAAAGCCACGGGCGGCGACCCCUGGGACCAGGACGACCAAGGAGGAGGACGACCAGAACUGACCAGCCAGCCCCCUUGGCUAAAGGCUUAGACCUGUGCCCUAGUGAGGGGGCAUUGGUCGCCAACCCCUGACCUUUGCUAUGCUUCUGCCUUGUUGCUCUGAUACUUGCCUCUAUGUCUCUGCCUGUGUUAACCUGCCAGCGCCCUGGAGGGUUGCCAUCCCCAGGGAGGUGUCAGUCUUUCUCGCUCCACUUGUUGUCGCCCGAAUGACGUCCUGAACGGAAGGGUCCCUUUGGGAACGUCUCGGGAGGCCGACCUGGGCCAAGGGCACAACCAGCAUCUCACUGGCAAUUCCAAGGCCCUGGGUGGGCUUCUGGAAUGAGCAUGAGCCCCGACGUCAUGCCACAGAACUGCCAGGGGCACCCCCCCUCCUUUGAGCUCUCCCUGUCCCUCCUGGGGGGACAGGGACGAGAAGAGCAGUCUCCCAGGGGGUUGUGAGUAUUGAAUGAGAUGAAGUCGCCUCGGGCAGGGCCAGGCAUAGAGGAGGCAGUCGGCAAAUGUUUGUUGAUAAAGUUUGGCCGAUCAGUCAGUCCAGCCCCGGCCCGCUCCCGUGUCUCACCGUCUCAUUUAUUCUCCCACAGCACUCCGGAUGGCCCCUGGCCACGGGGCUCUGCCCGCACCAGGUCUCCUUCUGGAGUUGGGGUCUGUGAGCUGGACCCCUCCCUCCGUGACGCCUUCCUCCCUCCUCUGCGCCCCCAGUCGUUGGCUGGGGCCUGUCCAGGGCAAAGGGCAGAUGACUGGGGGACCUCCGGGGAGCGUUGCAGGCUCUGCCAAGGCCUGGCUGCCCACCUGUUCUCUACCUGGCGGUUCCUUCCCUGCCUCCCUCCCCCCAGCCAGGGUGCCUGCCCACCUGGAGCUCUGCUUGCCCGGCCCGCCCCUCUGUGCCCCCUGUCACUGGGCUCAGGAUCUUCUGGGUCCUGGCUGUGCCGCCCUCUGCCUAACAGGUUGUUUUUCCCGCUGCCUCGCCCACCUCCCACCUGCGUGCCUUUUGCCCUCCCCGUCCCCUGGUACAAGGAAGCCCUCCCCGCUCAGGGCCGCCCAAGUUUCCAGUGGGUCUCUGGUGCCCCGGGAUAA
RNAcentral lists this long non-coding RNA (1178 nucleotides) under Sus scrofa (pig). RNAcentral's name for it is "lncRNA (ENSSSCG00005006442.1)". The stretch from base 314 to 418 matches the Rfam family "Maternally expressed 3 conserved region 2". Lineage: Eukaryota; Metazoa; Chordata; Mammalia; Artiodactyla; Suidae. The record is from RNAcentral.